This 253-nucleotide ribosomal RNA is filed under the name uncultured bacterium. RNAcentral describes it as "partial 16S ribosomal RNA". It matches the Rfam family "Bacterial small subunit ribosomal RNA", at positions 524 to 776 of the family's 1533-position model. The record is from RNAcentral.
UACGGAGGGUGCAAGCGUUAGUCGGAAUUACUGGGCGUAAAGGGUGUGUAGGCGGAAGUCCAAGUGGUGUAUGAAAGCUCCCGGCUUAACCGGGAAGGGUUAUGCCAGACUGGACAUCUAGAGUGUGGGAGAGGGACGUGGAAUUCCGGGUGUAGUGGUAAAAUGCGUAGAGAUCCGGAGGAACACCAGAGGCGAAGGCGGCGUCCUGGCCCACAACUGACGCUCAUCCGCGACAGCAUGGGGAGCGAACGGG